AUGGUGUGUACCAAAAUUUUUCUCGUCUGCACUUAAACCGUGACGUUUUUAAAGCCCAAAAACGUUUUUCAUCACCCGUCAGUAAUUUUUUUUUCCCGGAGUGAUAUCCUUUUCAUCAAUUAGGUAUUGAGUGUGCAAGCAAGAGAUUUGCUUUUUCAGAAAGAUUACCAAAAACUAUGUUGAAGAGGAAAGACUUUAAGUGUUACAAUUUAAAGAGCCAUUGAAAUGGUUUUAAAAGAAGUAAACAUGUGGGAAUCCCAUUUUAUCUACCAAGAAGAAGUUUGUAAAAGUGUAAAGACUAAAGCUACAUUGACAGAAAGAAGGACAUUUUUUUCAAUUAUUGGAACAGAUGUCUAGAAAAAAGUGCCUGCAAACUGAAAUGUGUUUUCUCCAGGUUAUACCAGGUUUUCACGGAUGAAGGAAUGGCUGUACUAGUUCAUUAUUUCCAUCGAUCAGCAGACAUUUAUGUUUUCCUGUCCUGUGUAAGAAAGUUUUCAAUUUACGUCCACAAUGAAUCUCCAAAUUUUUCCCCCAACCAAGAUCGACAAAACUUUAGCUAGGCCAUCCCAUAAUUGUUGACUCAAGAGAUUUCAUCCAGAAGUUGUAGUGUCUCAUUUAAACCACACAGAAAAAUCAUUUAAUGCCAGGUUUUCACAGAUAGGAAAGUGACACCUAAAGUGUUUUGCAUUAAAAAAGAAGAUUCAAUUAAGUGUAUGUAUUUAAAAGUUGGUUUAUGGGUUCCUGAUUCGAUUUUUGCAAAAACAUUUUGUAUGUGUAGAAUGUCGCAAAUGCUGUGUAAAAAUGCAAUGCCAACUUACCCCAAUUCAUUGGGCAACUUGCCCCUUGGGGCAAGUUGCCCAUUGAAGGUGUCGCAAUAAAACGUAUUUUUCGGCAAG
Daphnia pulex (common water flea) is the source of this 896-nucleotide long non-coding RNA. RefSeq lists it as uncharacterized. The transcript is spliced from 4 exons. Lineage: Eukaryota; Metazoa; Arthropoda; Branchiopoda; Diplostraca; Daphniidae. The record is from RefSeq and is a predicted model, not a curated record.